CAAAAGUCAGGUCGGAUUAAGCCAUAGUACGGGAAAAACUAUGCUACCUGUGAGCCCCGUCCAAGGACGUUAAAAGAAGUCAGGCCACUACAAGUGCCAUAACUUGAGCAAAUUAUGCAGCCUGUAGCUCCACCUGGGAAGGUGUAAAAAAUCUGGGAGGCCACAAAACAUGGAAGC
RNAcentral lists this long non-coding RNA (177 nucleotides) under dengue virus type 2. Its description in RNAcentral is "Dengue virus 2 partial sfRNA1". Lineage: Riboviria; Orthornavirae; Kitrinoviricota; Flasuviricetes; Amarillovirales; Flaviviridae. The record is from RNAcentral.